UAUAGUGUGUGUCUUCAUCAGCAUUUGGAAUUUUAGGGAUUAAAAUAAGAGUGUUGGCAUUGAAGUUUGGCAUCAUCCAGCUAUUAAUGAAAAAAUCUAGGACAGCAUUCUCCACAUCUCUAUUGAUUACAUUCCAGUAAGUUUAGAAAAAGACUGCACCAAACCCAUCAGGUCCAGGGGCCCCAUCCUUGUUUAGAGAGAAAACUGCAUUUCUAAUCUCCUCUUUUGAAGGGAUUAAGGUAAGCAUGUUGUUGAUGUUGU
Molecule: long non-coding RNA, 261 nt
Filed under: Medicago truncatula (barrel medic)
Lineage: Eukaryota; Viridiplantae; Streptophyta; Magnoliopsida; Fabales; Fabaceae
Description: long non-coding RNA (MTRU_LNC007294)
Source: RNAcentral